UGGUGAUACAUACCACCACCUACGGGACUCUGGAUGCCUCUUUAGACUGAAGAAGAAGUGGAAGAGUGAGAUGUUGGGGUCGAUCCCAGCUAACACGCAUACUGCGGUGAAACCGCAGAUGUGCCACCAUGAGUUGGGAACUAUUGUGCAUGGCAACACCUCAAAGUAUUGGAGGAGGAUGAUGAAGAAAGGAUGAAGGAAAAGCCUCAGCCGACCUGGAAGCAUUCCUCGUAGAGACUCAUCCUGCCUGGAGGAGGUUGGCAAGCAUGGUCAUUCGCCCC
This 281-nucleotide long non-coding RNA is filed under the name Elaeis guineensis (African oil palm). Its description in RNAcentral is "long non-coding RNA (EGUI_LNC039420)". Lineage: Eukaryota; Viridiplantae; Streptophyta; Magnoliopsida; Arecales; Arecaceae. The record is from RNAcentral.